AGCAGCCGCGGUAAUUCCAGCUCCAAUAGCGUAUAUUAAAGUUGUUGCAGUUAAAAAGCUCGUAGUUGAAUUUCGGGAUUGGCGCAUCGGUCGUGCCUCACGGGGUAUGAACUGGUGCAGUCAAUUUCUCACCUUCUGGAGAACCGCGAUGUCCUUAAUUGGAUGCCGCGGGGAACCAGGACCUUUACUUUGAAAAAUUAGAGUGUUUAAAGCAGGCAUUUUUGCUUGAAUACAUUAGCAUGGAAUAAUAAAAUAGGACGGCAUGGUUCUAUUUUGUUGGUUUCUAGGACCACCGUAAUGAUUAAUAGGGAUAGUUGGGGGCAUUAGUAUUCAAUUGUCAGAGGUGAAAUUCUUGGAUUUAUUGAAGACUAACUACUGCGAAAGCAUUUGCCAAGGAUGUUUUCAUUAAUCAAGAACGAAAGUUAGGGGGAUCGAAGACGAUCAGAUACCGUCGUAGUCUUAACCAUAAACUAUGCCGACUAGGAAUCAGACGAUGUUAAUUUUUAAUGACUCGUUUAGG
RNAcentral lists this unclassified non-coding RNA (520 nucleotides) under uncultured Entrophospora. RNAcentral's name for it is "SSU rRNA". It matches the Rfam family "Eukaryotic small subunit ribosomal RNA", at positions 569 to 1084 of the family's 1831-position model. The record is from RNAcentral. Lineage: Eukaryota; Fungi; Glomeromycota; Glomeromycetes; Entrophosporales; Entrophosporaceae.